RNAcentral lists this ribosomal RNA (440 nucleotides) under uncultured bacterium. Its description in RNAcentral is "partial 16S ribosomal RNA". It matches the Rfam family "Bacterial small subunit ribosomal RNA", at positions 338 to 795 of the family's 1533-position model. The record is from RNAcentral.
CCUACGGGAGACAGCAGUGGGGAAUAUUGCACAAUGGGGGGAACCCUGAUGCAGCGACGCCGCGUGAGUGAAGAAGGAUUUCGGUAUGUAAAGUUCUAUCAGCAGGGAAGAAAAUGACGGUACCUGAAUAAGAAGCCACGGCUAACUACGUGCCAUCAGCCGCGGUAAUACGUAGGGGGCAAGCGAUAUACGGAUUUAAUGGGUGUAAAGGGAGCGUAGAAGGCAGAGCAAGUCUGAAGUGAAAUCCCGCGGCCCAACUUGGGGACUGCUUUGGAAACUGCCCGGCUAGAGUGCUGGAGAGGAAAGCGGAAUUCCUGGUGUAGCGGUGAAAUGCGUAGAUAUUAGGAGGAACACCAGUGGCGAAGGCGGCUUACUGGACAGUAACUGACGUUGAGGCUCGAAAGCGUGGGGAGCAAACAGGAUUAGAUACCCGUGUAGUC